AGGCAGCAGUGGGGAAUAUUGGACAAUGGGCGCAAGCCUGAUCCAGCCAUACCGCGUGGGUGAAGAAGGCCUUCGGGUUGUGAAGCCCUUUUGUUGGGAAAGAAAUCCAGCCGGUUAAUACCUGGUUGGGAUGACGGUACCCAAAGAAUAAGCACCGGCUAACUUCGUGCCAGCAGCCGCGGUAAUACGUAGGGCGCAAGCGUUGUCCGGAAUUAUUGGGCGUAAAGAGCUCGUAGGCGGCUUGUCACGUCGGUUGUGAAAGCCCGGGGCUUAACCCCGGGCCUGCAUUCGAUACUGGCAGGCUUGAGUUCGGUAGGGGAGAUCGGAAUUCCUGGUGUAGCGGGUGAAAUGCGCAGAUAUGUGGAGGAACACCGGGGGCGAAGGCGGAUCUCUGGGGCCGAUACUGACGCUGAGGAGCGAAAGCGGGGGGAGCGAACAGGAUUAAAUACCCGGGUAGUCCACGCCGUAACCGGUGGGCACUAGGGGUGGGCAACAUUCCACGUUGUCCGUGCCGCAGCUAACGCAUUAAGUGCCCCGCCUGGGGAGUACGGCCGCGGGCUAAAACUCAAAUGAAUUGACGG
This 581-nucleotide ribosomal RNA is filed under the name uncultured Actinomycetes bacterium. RNAcentral's name for it is "bacterial SSU rRNA". It matches the Rfam family "Bacterial small subunit ribosomal RNA", at positions 346 to 916 of the family's 1533-position model. Lineage: Bacteria; Bacillati; Actinomycetota; Actinomycetes. The record is from RNAcentral.